RNAcentral lists this small RNA (182 nucleotides) under Gopherus agassizii (Agassiz's desert tortoise). Its description in RNAcentral is "TUC338 (ENSGAGG00000015680.1)". Lineage: Eukaryota; Metazoa; Chordata; Testudines; Testudinidae. The record is from RNAcentral.
AUGAGUUCAGUGCUAGAGAUAGAAGUCCUCUCUUCAUUUGCAAAACUGGUAAAAUAUGGGCAGCAGCAGUGCAAACUUCCUGGUACUGUGAGGCCAGAGUGCCUCCAUCCUGAGCAGGAGGAAUUCUGUCUGCAGGCAAGCAUUUCACUCUGUGUUCCCAUCCCAUUCAGUCCCUGGUCUCU